Molecule: ribosomal RNA, 553 nt
Filed under: Phoma sp. P9
Lineage: Eukaryota; Fungi; Ascomycota; Dothideomycetes; Pleosporales; Didymellaceae
Description: eukaryotic LSU rRNA
Rfam family: 5.8S ribosomal RNA (bases 198-351)
Source: RNAcentral
UAGAGGAAGUAAAAGUCGUAACAAGGUUUCCGUAGGUGAACCUGCGGAAGGAUCAUUACCUAGAGUUGUAGGCUUUGCCUGCUAUCUCUUACCCAUGUCUUUUGAGUACCUUCGUUUCCUCGGCGGGUUCGCCCGCCGAUUGGACAAUUUAAACCAUUUGCAGUUGCAAUCAGCGUCUGAAAAAACAUAAUAGUUACAACUUUCAACAACGGAUCUCUUGGUUCUGGCAUCGAUGAAGAACGCAGCGAAAUGCGAUAAGUAGUGUGAAUUGCAGAAUUCAGUGAAUCAUCGAAUCUUUGAACGCACAUUGCGCCCCUUGGUAUUCCAUGGGGCAUGCCUGUUCGAGCGUCAUUUGUACCUUCAAGCUCUGCUUGGUGUUGGGUGUUUGUCUCGCCUCUGCGUGUAGACUCGCCUCAAAACAAUUGGCAGCCGGCGUAUUGAUUUCGGAGCGCAGUACAUCUCGCGCUUUGCACUCAGAACGACGACGUCCAAAAGUACAUUUUUACACUCUUGACCUCGGAUCAGGUAGGGAUACCCGCUGAACUUAAGCAUA